GUAUGUUAGAGGUACUGGAUAUAUAUAGAUUAAAGGGUAUGUUAGAGGUACUGGAUAUAUAUAGAUUAAAGGGUAUGUUAGAGGUAUCAGGGUGGAUAUAUAUAGAUUAAAGGGUAUGUUAGAGGUACUGGAUAUAUAUAGAUUAAAGGGUAUGUUAGAGGUAUCAGGGUGGAUAUAUAUAGAUUAAAGGGUAUGUUAGAGGUACUGGAUAUAUAUAGAUUAAAGGGUAUGUUAGAGGUAUCAGGGUGGAUAUAUAUAGAUUAAAGGGUAUGUUAGAGGUAUCAGGGUGGAUAUAUAUAUAUAUUAAAGGGUAUGUUAGAGGUAUCAGGGUGGAUAUAUAUAGAUUAAAGGGUAUGUUAGAGGUAUCAGCGUGGAUAUAUAUAGAUUAAAGGGUAUGUUAGAGGUAUCAGGGUGGAUAUAUAUAGAUUAAAGGGUAUGUUAGAGGUAUCAGCGUGGAUAUAUAUAGAUUAAAGGGUAUGUUAGAGGUAUCAGGGUGGAUAUAUAUAGAUUAAAGGGUAUGUUAGAGGUAUCAGCGUGGAUAUAUAUAGAUUAAAGGGUAUGUUAGAGGUAUCAGGGUGGAUAUAUAUAGAUUAAAGGGUAUGUUAGAGGUAUCAGCGUGGAUAUAUAUAGAUUAAAGGGUAUGUUAGAGGUAUCAGGGUGGAUAUAUAUAGAUUAAAGGGUAUGUUAGAGGUAUCAGGGUGGAUAUAUAUAGAUUAAAGGGUAUGUUAGAGGUACUGGAUAUAUAUAGAUUAAAGGGUAUGUUAGAGGUAUCAGCGUGGAUAUAUAUAUAGAUUAAAGGGUAUGUUAGAGGUACUGGAUAUAUAUAGAUUAAAGGGUAUGUUAGAGGUAUCAGCGUGGAUAUAUAUAGAUUAAAGGGUAUGUUAGAGGUAUCAGGGUGGAUAUAUAUAGAUUAAAGGGUAUGUUAGAGGUAUCAGCGUGGAUAGAGAUGUCAGGCUAAGGUGUAGAGAGAGGGGCCUGAGUGAAGGAAGCUUUCUGAACACUCGGCCGUGCGUCCCAAAUGAUACCCCGUUACCUUCAUAGUGCACGACUCUUGACCAGAGCCCUGUGUGGAAUAGGUGUCAUUUGGGAUACAUCCCUUCUAUCAGAUGCUGUGGUCAGGCUGGAUACCUGUCUGCCUGUCUGCCUGCCUGCCUGUAGGCCCCGUCAGAGCAGCUGGCCACUAAACCAGUUGGUCCACUCCCCUCUCCAGGCUGUCUCUGAACCCUUGGACCGAGCUGAUAAAGCUGUUAAGAGGCAUUGCUAGAUUUCCUUUGUACUGGGGGCCUGCAAGGACCAGGUACACACACACCUACGCACUUACACACCUACAGUACGCAAACACACACAUACACACACACACACACACACACACACCCAGUGAGGUCCAGGUGCACCUAACCACCUCAUCCACCCACACGUUGGCCGCGAUGACACCGAAACAACGUCAGUCAGGAUCUCUGGCACAACUACAGUCAGGAGCACAUUAUCCCUCCUGUGGCUCAAAUGGCAUCCUAUUCCCAUAGGGCCCUGGUCAACAGUAGGGCCCUAUUCCCUAUAUACCCUCCACUGUGUUUUUCAGAGCAGAUUGUGUACUCUGGUUGGUUAUGUCAUGGUUUGACAUGGACUUGAUGUAGAAACACACAGCAGAGUUAAAUGGGUGAUCUGGGUUCAGGAAGAGGAGAGGAGAGGAGAGGAGAGGAGAGGAGAGGAGAGGAGAAGAGAAGAGAAGAGAAGAGAAGAGAAGAGAAGAGAAGAGAAGAGAAGAGAAGAGAAGAGAAGAGAAGAGAAGAGAGGAGAAGAGAGGAGAGGAGAAGAGAAGAGAAGAGAAGAGAAGA
Molecule: long non-coding RNA, 1835 nt
Organism: Oncorhynchus keta (chum salmon)
Lineage: Eukaryota; Metazoa; Chordata; Actinopteri; Salmoniformes; Salmonidae
Exons: 4
Source: RefSeq, a predicted model, not a curated record